RNAcentral lists this ribosomal RNA (262 nucleotides) under uncultured bacterium. Its description in RNAcentral is "partial 16S ribosomal RNA". It matches the Rfam family "Bacterial small subunit ribosomal RNA", at positions 93 to 353 of the family's 1533-position model. The record is from RNAcentral.
GACCGGCGCACGGGUGAGUAACACGUAUCCAACCUGCCGUCUACUCUUGGACAGCCUUCUGAAAGGAAGAUUAAUACAAGAUGGCAUCAUGAGUCCGCAUGUUCACAUGAUUAAAGGUAUUCCGGUAGACGAUGGGGAUGCGUUCCAUUAGAUAGUAGGCGGGGUAACGGCCCACCAAGACUACGAUGGAUAGGGGUUCUGAGAGGAAGGUCCCCCACAUUGGAACUGAGACACGGUCCAAACUCCUACGGGAGGCAGCAUG